AUUUAUAUAGUUUAAAAAAAACAUUACAUUUUCAUUGUAAAAUUAAAAAAAUUUUUUUUUAUAAAUU
RNAcentral lists this transfer RNA (67 nucleotides) under Sarcophaga pterygota. Its description in RNAcentral is "tRNA-Glu". Lineage: Eukaryota; Metazoa; Arthropoda; Insecta; Diptera; Sarcophagidae. The record is from RNAcentral.